RNAcentral lists this ribosomal RNA (223 nucleotides) under Stenotrophomonas sp. RNAcentral's name for it is "partial 16S ribosomal RNA". It matches the Rfam family "Bacterial small subunit ribosomal RNA", at positions 560 to 782 of the family's 1533-position model. The record is from RNAcentral. Lineage: Bacteria; Pseudomonadati; Pseudomonadota; Gammaproteobacteria; Lysobacterales; Lysobacteraceae.
GUAAAGCGUGCGUAGGUGGUCGUUUAAGUCUGUUGUGAAAGCCCUGGGCUCAACCUGGGAACUGCAGUGGAAACUGGACGACUAGAGUGUGGUANAGGGUAGCGGAAUUCCUGGUGUAGCAGUGAAAUGCGUARAGAUCAGGAGGAACAUCCAUGGCGAAGGCAGCUACCUGGACCAACACUGACACUGAGGCACGAAAGCGUGGGGAGCAAACAGGAUUAGA